GGGGAGCCAUCAGUGAGAUACCACUCUUGGUAAGCUAGAGCGCUCAGUCUUCACCGUCAUCCGGUAAGACGACAGUUUCAGGCGGGCAGUUUGACUGGGGCAGUCACCUCCCAAAAGGUAAUGGAGGUGUGCAAAGGUUCCCUCAGGCUGGACGGAAAUCAGCCAUAGAGUGUAAAAGCAUAAGGGAGCUUGACUGCGAGACUGACAUGUCAAGCAGAGACGAAAGUCGGCUUUAGUGAUCCGACGGUGCUGUGUGGAAAGGCCGUCGCUCAACGGAUAAAAGUUACUCUAGGGAUAAC
Molecule: ribosomal RNA, 299 nt
Filed under: uncultured eukaryote
Lineage: Eukaryota
Description: partial large subunit ribosomal RNA
Rfam family: Bacterial large subunit ribosomal RNA
Source: RNAcentral